Molecule: ribosomal RNA, 443 nt
Filed under: uncultured bacterium
Lineage: Bacteria
Description: partial 16S ribosomal RNA
Rfam family: Bacterial small subunit ribosomal RNA
Source: RNAcentral
CCUACGGGGGGCUGCAGUAGGGAAUCUUGCACAAUGGAGGAAACUCUGAUGCAGCGACGCCGCGUGAGUGAUGAAGGCUUUAGGGUUGUAAAGCUCUGUUCUUAGGGAAAAACACAAUGAUUGUACCUAAGGAGAAAGGACCGGCUAACUUCGUGCCAGCAGCCGCGGUAAGACGGGGGGUCCUAGCGUUGUUCGGAAUCAUUGGGCGUAAAGCGGGCGUAGGUGGCUAUGUAAGUCAGGAGUGAAAGCCCUGGGCUCAACCCAGGAAGUGCUUUUGAAACUGCGUAGCUUGAGUGUGGAAGAGGAUAGUGGAAUUCCUGGUGUAGUGGUGAAAUACGUAGAUAUCAGGAGGAACACCGGUGGCGAAGGCGGCUAUCUGGUCCAACACUGACACUGAGGCCCGAAAGCGUGGGGAUCAAACAGGAUUAGAUACCCCAGUAGUC